Molecule: ribosomal RNA, 256 nt
Filed under: uncultured bacterium
Lineage: Bacteria
Description: partial 16S ribosomal RNA
Rfam family: Bacterial small subunit ribosomal RNA
Source: RNAcentral
UAAUACGAAGGUGGCAAGCGUUGUUCGGAAUCACUGGGCUUAAAGAGCACGUAGGCGGCCUGUCAAGUGCCUUGUGAAAUCCCUCGGCUCAACCGGGGAAUUGCUGGGCAUACUGUCAGGCUUGAGGCAGGUAGGGGCGCGUGGAACUCUUGGUGGAGCGGUGGAAUGCGUAGAUAUCAAGAGGAACGCCGGAGGCGAAAGCGAUGCGCUGGGCCUGUCCUGACGCUGAGGUGCGAAAGCUAGGGGAGCAAACGGG